UGCCAUAAGGGUUAGUAUUACCCUUAUGGCAACCAUGUAGCAUGUAGCA
This is a non-coding RNA of Oscillibacter sp. 57_20, 49 nucleotides long. NCBI's taxonomy places the organism in Bacteria, Bacillati, Bacillota, Clostridia, Eubacteriales, Oscillospiraceae. The record is from Rfam.